UUUCGUGUUCCUUGUUGUACUUUGUGUGCUUCACGUGAUGUAGGGUUUUGAACGAGUCGCUAAAGCCUUCUUCGCCUCCUUGGACGACAAAUUUGCGAAAGUUCGUCGUCAUUGGAUCGAACGUAGCGACGGGAGGGUUUUGAACAAGCCGCUAAAGCCUUCUUCGCCUCCUUCGAUGAUGUUCUUGUCGAAUCGGAAUUCACAAAAGUUCGUCAUUCUUCCUGUUGGAUCGGACAUAGCGACGAGAGGGUUUUGCAUGAGUCGCUAAAGCCUUCUUCGUUUUAUUCGACUACAUUCCUUCUUGUCGGAUCGGAAGUUGCGAAAGUUCGUCAUUCUUCCUUUUGGAUCCGACGUAGCGAUAGGAGCUCACUUGUUGUGAAGAGAGAUUAUUUGCUUCCAACCUAGUUGAUGGGGAAAUCGACAGGAGGUUUCGACGCGUUUAUCAGAGGCGACACAGAAGAUUGAUGGCCAUGAUGGAUAGUCUUUACUUUUGAUGCAUUUUUUGUAUUAGCAUUUUAUGUACUAAUCAUGUUAUUUCAGUUUUUCCGUUUUUGCCCUUAUGGGUAGUUAGUCGCUAUUGUAGCCCAAAGGGGCAUUUUAGUCUUUUGUUUCCUUGUCAUUUUGAGGCCUAUAUAUGUGGUCAUUUUCUUAUGUAUGAGGAUGAUUGAUGAAUGAAAAAAAUUUCUACU
Molecule: long non-coding RNA, 689 nt
Organism: Dendrobium catenatum
Lineage: Eukaryota; Viridiplantae; Streptophyta; Magnoliopsida; Asparagales; Orchidaceae
Exons: 2
Source: RefSeq, a predicted model, not a curated record